ACACCGGCGUGGUACUAGUCACCCAGCCGCACCCCUCGGAAAGCGCGGAAUCGGUGACAGCCACUUCACAGGCUCACGCGCUCCCACUGUGGGCUUGAGGGGGACGGGGACCGAUUACCAAAGGAGAGCGCUUACUACGGAAGACACAGGGCAGCCUUUGUCUUGGGUUUAGCGCUGAUACGCUCAACCCUGAGUCGGGUUCACUGCAACUGUUGGGUCCGAUUUCGGUUCCCUGCAACCGCCCUCCUGCGCGACAGAUGUCAUUGUGUUCCUGCGGCCAGCGGGUCUGAAAGCUGGGACUUAAGACGCCAGGAGGGUCUUGCGCUCACGGACGCUUUUACAAAAUCUGAGUCAUAAAUUACAGAUAUUCUUGAUGAAAAUUCAGAACAUAGGGUUUAUUUUCAAAAAGAAAUGUACCCAAAAGAACUCUGAGAGAAUAUACUCACUGUCCUGCUGUGAUUAAACAAGACUGCUGUAUUUUAUGGGGUUUCAGCAUGUUGCCCAGGCUGGCCUCAAACUCCUGGACUCAAGCGAUCCACCUACCUCGGUUUCCCAAAGUGCUGGGAUUACAAGCAUGAG
RNAcentral lists this small RNA (579 nucleotides) under Pongo abelii (Sumatran orangutan). RNAcentral's name for it is "processed transcript". Lineage: Eukaryota; Metazoa; Chordata; Mammalia; Primates; Hominidae. The record is from RNAcentral.